RNAcentral lists this small RNA (77 nucleotides) under Xanthomonas campestris. RNAcentral's name for it is "sX9 sRNA". It matches the Rfam family "Xanthomonas sRNA sX9". Lineage: Bacteria; Pseudomonadati; Pseudomonadota; Gammaproteobacteria; Lysobacterales; Lysobacteraceae. The record is from RNAcentral. RNAcentral also lists the same sequence under 2 other names.
AUGUACCCCUUACACUCCGGUUCCUCCGCGCCGGCCGCACCCACCUGACAACAACUGCUCGCUACGUUUUGUUAGCU